Molecule: long non-coding RNA, 1040 nt
Organism: Arachis stenosperma
Lineage: Eukaryota; Viridiplantae; Streptophyta; Magnoliopsida; Fabales; Fabaceae
Exons: 5
Source: RefSeq, a predicted model, not a curated record
CACCUCCAAAACACCUUCAUCCCCUUUCAGAAACCCUUGAAAGCUCACUCACUGCGCCGUCGCGAAGUAGAAACCUUGCCUCCAAAGCUCACCAUCGUCGCCCCCCACUCACUUUCUUCACUCUCGCCAUUGACCCUGUCACUCUCGCUCUCGUCAUUGACCCUCUCAUUCUCGCCAUUGACCCUCUCACUACAACAAGAAGAAACCCUCUCACUCUGGCCAUUGACAUCGUCGCCCCCCACUCACCACUCUCCACAUUGUUGCACUACUGACCGUCGCUCCUCUUUCCCAUCUUGCACUGAUCGUCGCUGCGCCGCCCUCAUCAUCGUCGCUGCGUCGCCCUCACCAUCGUCAUCACCCCCAAAUAAGAGAAAAGCGUUUGCCAUCACCACUCACCACUCACGGCUCCAGGAAGACUCUGCGCUCACUCAUCUUCCCCACUCAUCUUCAUCAUCGCUUCUCUUCGCUUCGCAGUCACAUAACGAAGACUCUGUGCUCAACUGAAAGCUUUCUUCAUUUGCGAGGAGAACUCAUGAAUUUAGGGGUUUUAUUCCAUUAACACAGCACCACCAGUGUUUGCUGUUUUUGCCGCCACUCCUCUGUUUUGCAGCCUCUGAGCCGCGAACUCCAUCGCCGGUUCCAUCUUCACCUGGCCGUCGAACACCCUUCACUUACACCACGAGGACCACGACUCGCCUUUUGCCUUCUUACAUAGAUAUCAUUGGAUUGAAGGUGGAAGUUUUUGGUUAUGGUCUUCCAAGCAGAUUUUGUGGAAACGUUGACCGUGUCAUGGCAAGGGUAACAAUGAAGAUUAAGCAAUGAAGAUUAAGCUGACUAUUAUUGUGGUUUAUUGGCUAAGAUAGAGUGCUAUUUAGAAUCUUUACAUGUAUGGUUGACUAAUGACUUUUAUUAGGAGAUACUUUUAUUGGCUAAGUGAUAUUAUGGUUUUGAUAUGGCUAUGCUUACUUUAGUGUGAGGUGUAUGAAUUUUUACAGUUAACUUUAUUCUAGUACUUUUGGAUCAAUAUUAAUAUAUUUUGG